AAGUAUUAGUCAAUGCUCGCAAGAGUGAACUAGCUAACUGAAAUCAUAGAAUUUUUUAAAAUUCAUGAUGUCGUAAGGGAAAAUAAUGAUAAUACCUUACUAUGAGUGUUGUCCAAAUCUGGUGCCAGAAGACUCGGUAAGACCAGAAACGCAAACGUUAAUCAUCAUAAACAGGCGUAAAGGGUUUGUAGGCAGCUUUUAUCAGAUUAUGCAUUUUAAAAUAAAGUAGUYUAAUUAAAAGCUAGAAUCAAAAAGAGGUUAUAGUGUAUAACGCCUAGAGGAGGGCUGAUAUCCAUAGAUCCUAGGCAGAAUACUAAGGGCGAAGGCCACUUUCCAUUAAUGAUUGACGCUGAGAAACGAAGGUUAGGGUAGGAAAUAGGAUUAGAUACCCCGGUACUCCUUUCUGUAAACGAUGAAUGGUAGUCAUUAGUUUUUUUYUUAGAAAAAAAAAAAUAACUAGAGACGAAGUUAACACAAUAACCAUUCCGCCUUGUGAGUACUACUGCAAAGUAGAAAACAAAAAAAUUAGUCGGUCUCGAAGCAAACGGAGUGAAGCAUGUUAUUUAAUG
Molecule: ribosomal RNA, 569 nt
Filed under: Haploporus sp. 2 LLS-2016
Lineage: Eukaryota; Fungi; Basidiomycota; Agaricomycetes; Polyporales; Polyporaceae
Description: partial small subunit ribosomal RNA
Rfam family: Bacterial small subunit ribosomal RNA
Source: RNAcentral